CCCCAAUACUCCAUAACAUUUUCAACUCAUUUAUUAAGGCCCUUAAGAACACAUUUUGGUGCUUGCCUGGAUUUUUUGGGCAUAAAAUGACCAUAGUUAAGAACAUGUAUGGAUUUUUCAUGCACAUCACAAGAAGCAAAUUAUAUACGGUAACAAUUAUUGGCCAAUAUGAGUAAAGCGUACCAAAUUGCCCAAAAAGAUAGAAUCCAUCGCGCAUAAACCAAUUCAUACAUUUCACGGAUCUGCUAUAAAUGAUGGGUGAGUGUAAUUGAAGUGCUUUCAUGCCUC
This 288-nucleotide long non-coding RNA is filed under the name Elaeis guineensis (African oil palm). RNAcentral describes it as "long non-coding RNA (EGUI_LNC049028)". Lineage: Eukaryota; Viridiplantae; Streptophyta; Magnoliopsida; Arecales; Arecaceae. The record is from RNAcentral.